CCUCGUGAGCCCUAGCUCGUUUAAAAUACAUUAGCAUCUCAAUUUCGAAACUUGGAUUGACUCAGCGUAGUAGACUAUUCGCUGAGGACACCUUUCAUUAGGUGGCCAUGUUAGAUAACGACCGAUGCUCAUAGCACUCUAUCUAGUCAUUCUUUUUAAGAUUAGACCUCAGAUCAGGCAGGAUUACCCGCUGAACUUAA
Molecule: unclassified non-coding RNA, 200 nt
Filed under: soil metagenome
Description: partial contains internal transcribed spacer 2 and large subunit ribosomal RNA
Source: RNAcentral